Drosophila yakuba is the source of this 738-nucleotide long non-coding RNA. RefSeq lists it as uncharacterized. The transcript has 2 exons. The record is from RefSeq and is a predicted model, not a curated record. Lineage: Eukaryota; Metazoa; Arthropoda; Insecta; Diptera; Drosophilidae.
UAUGCUGUUCGUUCUACGUUUCAUUUAUAACUGAAAUAAAUAUUGUCAUUUCCAAAUCUGUAAUUUGUAUCUGUAAUGACUAUUACAAAAUUUUAAACUAUUUUAAAUCACAUUUACCUGUAGGCGUUGGGAUACCUGCUCAAAGGACUAGACUGAAGUCUAAUGGUAGUGCGCUGUGUUGAUGAAUACAAGUGUACACGUAUAAUGCGUGCUAUAGUCAAGACAUUUAUUAAUUCCAUCCAGUCCGGUCCGAAAUUAGAAACCAAAGUGAGCCACACACUGUGUGUGUCUUUGAGGGCGACUUGGGAGCAAGUCAGGAAUUUAUGGCCCGCUGCAGCUGGGGUUUGGGUUUUCUUGAGAAAGUUUGACAGAAUAACCCCUUGGAGUAUACGCAGUGGAUGCAAAAACUGCAUCAAAGUGCAGUGGCAACAACAACGACAAACACAAAAAUGCAAUUACCGAAAUGAUAACAAGGCCUACGAGCGCAUAAGGCUUCGAUGGACAUUGGACAACGGACAUUGGACAAUGGACGGAGUCCUUCAUCUUGGACUUUGCUUUUCCAGCUCAAGAUGUUGCUAUGGCCGCAUUGCCAUCUACAUGUGUAUGUGUGCCAGAGUUUGUGUGCCAACGCACGUGAUGCUGUGUGUGUGUGUGAAGUGAAGCAUAAAAUAUAUAUUAAUAUACAAGUGUACAAAAAUGCAAUAUACGAUUGUAAAAUACCUUGCAAAGACGAGCAAA